UCAGGCCUAACACAUGCAAGUCGAACGAUGCCUUCGGGCAUAGUGGCGCACGGGUGCGUAACGCGUGGGAAUCUGCCCUUCGGUUCGGAAUAACUCAGGGAAACUUGAGCUAAUACCGGAUGAUGACGUAAGUCCAAAGAUUUAUCGCCGAAGGAUGAGCCCACGUAGGAUUAGGUAGUUGGUGGGGUAAUGGCCCACCAAGCCGACGAUCCUUAGGUGGUCUGAGAGGAUGAUCAUCCACACUGGGACUGAGACACGGCCCAGACUCCUACGGGAGGCAGCAGUGGGGAAUCUUAAAGAAUGGGCGCAAGCCUGAUCUAGCCAUGCCGCGUAUAAAGGGAGGCCUUAGGGUUGUAAAGCUCUUUCAGCUGGGAAGA
RNAcentral lists this ribosomal RNA (377 nucleotides) under uncultured bacterium. RNAcentral's name for it is "bacterial SSU rRNA". It matches the Rfam family "Bacterial small subunit ribosomal RNA", at positions 42 to 448 of the family's 1533-position model. The record is from RNAcentral.